CAUGAUUCAUGGAUUGGGCAUCAUCCAGUCCAGCAGACAGAAAGGAGCUCUGAGGAGCUGCACAAAAUGAGAUUUUCAAGGCAGAAGGGAGCGGGAACCAGGAAAGUAUACCAGGCCAAAAGUACGGUUGCUAAUUGUAAGGUUACUUUCCUUUAGGGAAUGGCGGGGGUCUAUCAGGCAGAUGACCUAAGUGGUGCUGGCCAGGUGAUUUCUGAUUGGUCGAAAUUCCAUUUCUGGGAGAGGGGGCAACUGUGAUUAAGUCUCUGUUUGGUGAUGUGGGGCUUGGCAUAAGUAACUCCAUUUUGGAUCUGUUGUCUGAUUUUUAACAUGAGUUAUGACUUUAAAUUUUUUUUGUGUGUGUGUGUGUGUGAUACACGGGCCUCUCACUGCUGUGGCCUCUCCCGUUGCGGAGCACAGGCUCCGGACGCGCAGACUCAGCGGCCAUGGCUCAUGGGCCCAGCCGCUUCACGGCAUGUGGGAUCUUCCCAGACCGGGGCACGAACCCGUGUCCCCUGCAUUGGCAGGCGGACUCUCAACCACUGCGCACCAGGGAAGCCCUGACUCCAAUUUUUUUUUAAACUUUUUAGAGCGUGAUUUGUUAAAUGUACACUGUAAAUAGAUCUAAGAGGCACAGUUUGGUUGACUAUACGGCUCCUUAGUACAUGGAGAGGUCAAUAGCUGUUCUCAUGUCAAUAACAUCUCACUAAUUUUGUCAAAUUGGGAAAAAGUACACUGUGACUUAACAGGAACAAUUUUUUUUUUUUUUGGCUGUGUUGGGUCUUUGUUGCUGCGCGUGUGCUUUCUCUAGUUGCGGCGAGCGGGGGCUACUCUUCAUUGUGGUGCACGGGCCUCUCAUUGCGGUGGCUUCUCUUGUUGCAGAGCACGGGCUCUAGGAGCAUGGGCUUCAGUAGUUGUGGCACACGGGCUCAGUAGUUGUGGCUCAUGAGCUCUAGAGUGCAGGCUCAGUAGUUGUGGCUCGCAGGGUCUAGAGCGCAGGCUCAGUAGUUGUGACGCACGGGCUUAGCUGCUCCACAGCAUGUGGGAUCUUCCUGGACCAGGGCUCGAACCCAUGUCCCCUGCAUUGGUAGACGGAUGCUUAACCACUGCGCCACCAAGGAAGCCCAACAGGAACAAUUUUGAAUUCAGAAUAUUUGUUAAAGAAAAGUAUUUUAUUAUUCCUUAGGAAUUAGGGUCUCCUGCUACAAAACCACAGUGUGACCUCAAGCAACUCACUUCACUUCUCUGGAUCUCGAUUUCUUCAUCAGGAUAGAUUAGGGGAUUCAACUGCAAGAGCUCGCGGGUCCCUCCCGGCUCGAAAGCGCUGUCCUGCGCGGAGCCCUGACUCAGCACCCUUCCUCCCGGAGCUCUUCCCUCCUGCCUCCCGUUGCCCAGCGUCCCCUGGCUCUUCUGCUUCUGCUGCUCUUUCUCCGGCUCUGUCGGGCGCUCCUCUUAAAUGUCGGCUUGGACCUGUGAUGCUGGAGCUACCCAGUCUUCAUGGCGGUAGCAGCUACCUACCUGCUAACCACUGCCCGCUGCCAUCUCUGCUUCAGGGUCAUGUCACCGGCCAACCGGGUGUGGCAUACAGAUGCCCACAUGCACGUCCAGCUACCGUGUCCAGCGGGAGUCCCCCCCACCCCAAAUGCGGCCCCUUCGCCUGUUUUCCUUAUUUAAGUGAAAAGCACCUGCGGUCAUUUCACCCUCAGAGCAGCUCCGAGCGGUGCUAUCCUCCCAUCACACAGAAGCUAUACACGAGAGUGAAAGCAGUGACGCGCAGAGAAGUUAGGGAGAGAUCUAAGGCAACACGGCAGUGAGUGGUGCCUUGGACGUGCGCUCAAUGUCUCUGCUCCAAGGCCAGAGCUCGCGCCCCCUGCCCUACGUGCUCUCUUGCCCAGCGCAGGAGCCUGGGGGUGGUCCUCAACCCCCAAUCCCUCCCUCGCCCCCCAUGCCCAGCCCCACGCCAGGGCCUGCGGACCAGAAUGGCCCUCGGGCGGCUCCUCAGACCUCACAGCUCAUGCUGUGAACAGCUGUCCUCUCUACUGUCUAGCCAGCGCCGUGUGUUUUGUAUUUUUGUGCUUUUUGUGGGUGAUUUUGCUGUUUAAAUGGCCCCCAGGCCUAGGGCUGAAGUCCUGUCCAGUGCCCCUGAGAGCAGGAAGGCUGUGACCUGCCUUAUGGGGAAAAUGGGUGUGUGAGGUGAGCUUCGAUCAGCGUGAGCUGCAGUGCUGUUGGCUGUGAGGUCGGGCUGGUGAGGCAACAGCACAGCACACCCACAGAGAGGAAGAGGGGCUUCCUGUAAGGACGCUCCUCCAGAAAGCACUAAAGGCAGCGCGUGAUGAAGUGACGGAAAAGGUGGAAAGGCGGCUAAAUCUGUGGAUUCGUGAGGUGACAACUGAUUAAAAAAAUCAUCGUGAGCAUCAUCGUGAGGAAAGCCGAAGACGUCCACGGCCACGGGGACACGGCUGUGGGCGUCUGUGUGCCACACCCUUCGGAGCUGGGUGGCUGACUCAUGUUUCCAGGUGACCUGGCAGAAACGUUCCACCUGCGGAUGGAAAUACCCGCUGAGUGUCAUCCAGGCGAAGGAGCAGGCGGUCCACGCCGCCCCAGGCUUGUUGUUUGAAGACCUGGCGCACGAGCCUGGAGAACACAACCCAGGUCUUGGUUGACAGAAUGUGACCAGAGGCUCCCAGGAGCCAGACGCCACACUUCCCAGGAGCAGCAGGUCCGGCCUUCACCCUCCAGGAACCAGACUCCACACUUCCCAGGAGCAGCAGGUCCAGCCUUCACCCUCCAGGGUUGGCAGCAAGUUCACGGAACACGACUGCGGUACUGAGAGCCGACCGUGCUUCUCACUGUUCCUGCCACGUGGGCUCCAGGCCCGCUGAACUCUUUAUGGUUGCCUGGUGCCCUCUCCUCUCCGCCAGGCCACCUAGACUCACCCUGGAGGCUCAGCUCCAGUCAUCCCCAGGGGCUCUCUCUGGAUCCCACCCUGGAGAUGCUCCUCCCCCGGGCUUGUUAACACACCACGUCCACCUCUGUCUCAGCAUCAUCUCAGCAGGGUGGUCAUGCCCGUGUUUGUCUCCCCCACCAGUGUCUAAGCUGCUGCAGGGCGAAGCCCUUUAUAUACCUCUGUGUGUGUGUGUGUGUGUGUGUGUGUGUGUGUGUGUGUGUGUGUGUGUGUGUGUGUGUGAGAGAGAGAGAGAGAGAGAGAGAGAGAGAGAGAGAUGGGUGGCCAAAACCAACAAUCAAAGGUAUUUCUUAUGGUAUACUUUUACUUUAUUUUUAAAAGUAACACACGCUACCAUGCCGUACAUGAUUGAUUCCACGCUUCUGUGCUCUGGUUCUUAGCACAGAGCCUGGCCCAUAGAGAGGAUCAGUACAUAUUCAUUGAAAAGAAAAGCAUAAAGGUUAACAAUAUCUAUUCAUUCUACCUAAUUGAAGUUCCCGGGUCAUAAAUUUUUAAUAAACAGAUAAAAUAGUUUGAAAUUAACAUAUUAAAUUAAUGGCUUGUUCUCUGAAAUAUUUAAAAUAAUUGCUCUGCCCUCUCUUUUCAGUUUGAGCUCUGUGUAAUAAAAUUUUGCUGAGCAAAAUAAACUUCAGCUUAAUCCAAAUGGAAUAAGUAGAAGUUUGGAGCAGUCAGUCUGAGCGAGUUUUUACUGUGCUCAGUGUAACUCUGGAAUAUUGAAGCCAGGGAGGGCUCAACGUACACCUGUGUUAAUUAGGCUCUUCCAGGUGAGCUAAGGAAGCUGGAAGGGGAGGAACAGAAACAGCCUCACCAAGCUGUCGGGGCCAGGAAGGAAGGCUGUCUGUGCACAGCCAGCUCUGGCCUUGGACAGCGCCUCCGGGACUCAGCGACUGGCUGUCUCCCCGUGAGCGGGCGUCUGCUGCUCCAGGAGCUGCUGUCGUGGGGACUUGGCUCCUGCAGCCUCUGCUUGGUCGUGGGCCGUCCUGACCUGUCACUGCUGCCCCUCUGCUCCUUGCCUCCUUCAUGCUCCUGCAGACUGGCAAGUGCCGAGCGUCCCUAUAGGUCUCACAUUCAGGUCCCCACAAAGAAGGGAUGCGAUUGCUUCAGAUAGCUUCUCUCCUUCCUACUGGGCAGACACCUCGCCCCAGUCCACCUCCUAAUACGGAGGUCAUCCUAUAAGUUAGCUGCCCGUGGGCCCAGCACCUCCCCUGUGAGCCAGAGUGGUGGGAAGGCACGGCUGCUUCCUCAGAAGGCCUGUGGGCAUGCGACACUCCUCUCUGAGGCCACAGAGGCAGCACUGACACCUGGAAGGUUAGGUGAUCAUUCCAAGGAGCGUCCUUUCAAAGCCCCUGCGGUCCAGGUCUCUGGAGCACAUCACCUCUCCAGUUUUGAGAAGACUUGCCUACUUGGCUUGUUUAUUUUGAGCUGCUCUAAAUGUUUGGGUGAAGCCUUCAGGGAUUAACAGACAGAUCUCAUAUAUGCAACCUCUAACUGCACCGCCAGUGGGUCCUUUAUCAGAAUUACUUAUGGAUGAACAUUAAGGACGUCUGAUAUCACUGAACACUGAAUAAGAGGGUCUGCAACGUUCUGCUUAUUUUCAUUUGUUUUCCUUAAUCUAAAUAAAUGAGUUGCUGCUUUAAAAAUA
Molecule: long non-coding RNA, 4604 nt
Organism: Orcinus orca (killer whale)
Lineage: Eukaryota; Metazoa; Chordata; Mammalia; Artiodactyla; Delphinidae
Exons: 2
Source: RefSeq, a predicted model, not a curated record